UACCUUAUUGAUUCUGUCAGCGCUAUAUGUUCAGCUAAAAGACUGAGCUAUGCAUCUCGAGUUCAACUUUGGAAUCAAACUGCGAACGGCUCAUCACAGCUGAUGAAAAUUCUUAGGAAUUGUUUCGAUGGAUUACUGCGGUAAGUUUGGAGUUAAUAUAUGCAACAGAAGUUUUGCUUUGUUCUACGAAUUUGCAGAAUUGGAAUAACGCAGCAUAUUCCAAGUGACUGUUCUGUUAAACUCAUGGUAGUGCAUUAGUCUACUAUGGUUAUUACGGCUAACGGAGAAUAAGGGCUCGACUCGGAAGAGGGAGCCUUAGAAACGCUACCACAUCGAAAGAAGACAGCAGUCGCGAAACUUAUCCAAUCUUGGGGAGGUGAGAUAGUGAGCGGUUAAAAAGCUCGUAGUUGGAUCUGAGUUACAUGCAGUGAGUUUCCCUUUGGCGCUAAUCGUUGUUGUGACUCUGUAGAAUAGUUUCUAGUAACGCUUCGAUUUUUCUAGUGAAUAGUGAGUUUGCCUUGAAUAAAUUAGAAUGCUGAAAACAAGUGUUCGCUUGAAUCGCUGACCACGAAAUAAUAGAAGAUGAUUCGAAUUUUAUUGAUCAAUUGGAAAACUGGAAUAAUGGUUGAGAGGGACCGUCCGGAGCAUUCGUAUCGUUGCGCGAGUGAUGAAAUUCGUGAACGUAAACCAUGCCAUUUGACAAUUCGAUGGGGUACUAAUAAUAGGGCGUUGUGAAGCAGCUUCUAAGACACGAAAGUCUUUCGGUUCUUGGGAUAGUAUGACUGCAAAGCUGAAACUUAGGGAAAUUGACAGAAUAGCAAUACCAGGGGUGGAGCCUGCAGUUUAAUUUGACUCAACACAGUUAA
This 866-nucleotide non-coding RNA is filed under the name Dictyocaulus viviparus (bovine lungworm). Its description in RNAcentral is "Eukaryotic small subunit ribosomal RNA". It matches the Rfam family "Eukaryotic small subunit ribosomal RNA", at positions 1 to 1212 of the family's 1831-position model. The record is from Rfam by way of RNAcentral. Lineage: Eukaryota; Metazoa; Nematoda; Chromadorea; Rhabditida; Metastrongylidae.